AGAGUUGAUCCGUGGCUCGAGGACGAACGCUGGCGGCGUGCUUCAUACAUGCAAGUCGAACGAGAAUCUGGCUUCGGUCAGAGGAAAGUGGCGGACGGGUGAGUAAUGUGUAGAGAAUCUGCCCCAGAGCGAGGGACAACAGUUGGAAACGACUGCUAAUACCUCAUAUGCGCGUAGCUGAGAUGCUAUUCGUGAAAACUCCGGUGCUCUGGGAUGAGUCUGCAUCUGAUUAGCUAGUUGGGGGUGUAAUGGACCACCAAGGCGACGAUCAGUAGCUGGUUUGAGAGGAUGAUCAGCCACAAUGGGACUGAGACACGGCCCAUACUCCUACGGGAGGCAGCAGUAGGGAAUUUUGCGCAAUGGGCGAAAGCCUGAACCGCAGCAACGCCGCGUGAUUGAAUAAGCCCUUCGGGGUGUAAAGAUCUGUCCGUGGGGACGAAACUUGACGGUACCCACAGAGGAAGCAUCGGCUAACUCCGUGCCAGCAGCGGC
RNAcentral lists this ribosomal RNA (492 nucleotides) under uncultured bacterium. RNAcentral's name for it is "bacterial SSU rRNA". It matches the Rfam family "Bacterial small subunit ribosomal RNA", at positions 8 to 518 of the family's 1533-position model. The record is from RNAcentral.